This 292-nucleotide ribosomal RNA is filed under the name uncultured bacterium. RNAcentral describes it as "partial 16S ribosomal RNA". It matches the Rfam family "Bacterial small subunit ribosomal RNA", at positions 505 to 796 of the family's 1533-position model. The record is from RNAcentral.
GUGUCAGCAGCCGCGGUAAUACGGAGGGUGCGAGCGUUGUUCGGAAUUAUUGGGCGUAAAGCGCGUGUAGGCGGUCUGUUUAGUCUGGUGUGAAAGCCCUGGGCUCAACCCGGGAAGUGCAUUGGAUACUGGCAGACUUGAGUACGGGAGAGGAUAGUGGAAUUCCGAGUGUAGGGGUGAAAUCCGUAGAUAUUCGGAGGAACACCGGUGGCGAAGGCGGCUAUCUGGACCGAUACUGACGCUGAGACGCGAAAGCGUGGGGAGCAAACAGGAUUAGAAACCCGCGUAGUCC